UCCAUAAUCUACAUAAACAACCUAAUCCGUCCUUACAUUUACAUCACCAACCAGUCAUGCUCUCACAUCCAGCAGAUAUUGUGUGUUGCGCUGCGGUUCUUUGCAAAUGGAAGUUUUUAUAUGAUGUCAGAGAUGCAGAGUAAGACAACUGUAUGGAGGACAGUCAGAAAAGUUUUCCUGGCUCUGAAACGACUUUUACCAUCAUUGUGGACACAAACCUGUCAGAACAUCAAGGAGGAUCCACAGGAUUGCAGGAUUUCCCAGUGUGAUUGGCUGCAUAGAUGCACACACAUCCCCAUCACAGCUCCCUCACAUCAUGAACAGGAAGUCCAUUCACAGCAUAAAUGUGCAGGUAGGCUACAGGUAGACUGACUACUGUUUCUAAAUGUUAAAGACUGCAUCAUAGUUCAACAUCUGUCAUUCUCUGCACUGUCCAGAUCAUAUGUGAUGCUGCAUGCAUCAUUUCUAAUGUGGAGGCCACGUGGUCUGGGUCUGUUCAUGACUCCAGGAUUUAUGGAGAGUCUAACCUGAGCAACAGACUGCAGCGUGGUCAGCAGCAUAAAGAUUUUCACAAUAGAAUUCUCUUGUCUCCCUCCUUUAAUAUGCUCUGAUGUAUCCACUAUACAUUACAGGAGAGUUUGAUGGCCUUCUGCUGGGUGACAGGGGUUACCAUGACAACCCAGGCUGAUGACCUCAUACCCUGAACCAGGCCCCCAACAGAACUUCAACCGGACUCACUGCAGGACCAGAGCCCGGGUGGAGAUGACCAUAGGCCUGCUGAAAGCCCGUUUCCAGAGCCUACGUCUCCUCAGGGUGACCCCUGAGAGGGCCUGUGAUAUUACUGUGGCAUGUGUUGUUCUUCAUAAUAUUACCACUAUUAGAGGAGAGCAACACCCUGCCCUACAAACUGAAGACCCAGAUGAUGAGCCCAUCCACCUGCAGCUAUCCAGGACAGCAGAGCAGUCAGAGACACCGUAUGCAAUAAUCACUUUAGAGUUUAAGUCUCCAUCAUCACCACCACAGCAAAUAAAGACAUGAUACACAUUU
Molecule: long non-coding RNA, 1047 nt
Organism: Acanthochromis polyacanthus (spiny chromis)
Lineage: Eukaryota; Metazoa; Chordata; Actinopteri; Pomacentridae
Exons: 2
Source: RefSeq, a predicted model, not a curated record